Molecule: ribosomal RNA, 407 nt
Filed under: uncultured bacterium
Lineage: Bacteria
Description: partial 16S ribosomal RNA
Rfam family: Bacterial small subunit ribosomal RNA
Source: RNAcentral
AUUGAACGCUGGCGGCAGGCCUAACACAUGCAAGUCGAGCGGAGCGGGGGACGGGGGAGUGAUGCCAAGGUAUCGGCCUGGUCGUGGGGGAUAACGUCCGGUACUGGGCGCUAAUACCGCAUACUAUCACAUGCGCCUGGGUCGGAUUAGCUUGUUGGUGGGGUAAAGGCCUACCAAGGCGUCGACCCGUAACUGGUCUGAGAGGAUGAUCAGUCACACUGGAACUGAGACACGGUCCAGACUCCUACGGGAGGCAGCAGUGGGGAAUAUUGGACAAUGGGCGAAAGCCUGAUCCAGCCAUGCCGCGUGUGUGAAGAAGGUCUUCGGAUUGUAAAGCACUUUAAGUUGGGAGGCGUUACCAACAGAAUAAGCACCGGCUAACUUCGUGCCAGCAGCCGCGGUAAUAC